RNAcentral lists this ribosomal RNA (382 nucleotides) under uncultured bacterium. Its description in RNAcentral is "bacterial SSU rRNA". It matches the Rfam family "Bacterial small subunit ribosomal RNA", at positions 30 to 412 of the family's 1533-position model. The record is from RNAcentral.
AUUGAACGCUGGCGGCAUGCCUAACACAUGCAAGUCGAACGGUAACAGGCCCUUCGGGUGCUGACGAGUGGCGGAUGGGUGAGUAAUACUUAGGAAUCUACCCUGUAGUGGGGGACGAACCCGGGGAAACUCGGGCUAAUACCGCAUACGCUCUACGGAGGAAAGCGGGGACCGGCAAGGCCUCGCGCUAUUGGAUGAGCCUAAGCCCGAUUAGCUAGUUGGUGGGGUAAUAGCCUACCAAGGCAAUGAUCGGUAGCUGGUCUGAGAGGACGACCAGCCACACUGGGACUGAGACACGGCCCAGACUCCUACGGGAGGCAGCAGUGGGGAAUAUUGGACAAUGGGCGAAAGCCUGAUCCAGCGAUGCCGCGUGUGUGAAGAA